RNAcentral lists this transfer RNA (67 nucleotides) under Chrysocoris stollii. RNAcentral describes it as "tRNA-Phe". The record is from RNAcentral. Lineage: Eukaryota; Metazoa; Arthropoda; Insecta; Hemiptera; Scutelleridae.
ACUUAAGUAAUUAAAAUUAUAAUAUAAUAUUGAAGCUAUUAAUUUAGGAUAUUUAUCCUCUUAAGUA